RNAcentral lists this ribosomal RNA (271 nucleotides) under uncultured soil bacterium. Its description in RNAcentral is "partial 16S ribosomal RNA". It matches the Rfam family "Bacterial small subunit ribosomal RNA", at positions 26 to 285 of the family's 1533-position model. The record is from RNAcentral.
AGAAUCAACGCUGGCGGCGUGCCUAACACAUGCAAGUCGAACGCGAAAGUCCCGCAAGGGAUGAGUAGAGUGGCAAACGGGUGAGUAACACGUGGGUGACCUGCCUUCGAGCGGGGGAUAACGUCCCGAAAGGGACGCUAAUACCGCAUGACAUCCUGCCUUUGAAGAGGUGGAGAUCAAAGUUGGGGAUCGCAAGACCUAGCACUCGAAGAGGGGCCCGCGCCUGAUUAGCUAGUUGGUGGGGUAACGCUCACCAAGGCGACGAUCAGUA